This 2818-nucleotide long non-coding RNA is filed under the name Sus scrofa (pig). Its description in RNAcentral is "lncRNA (ENSSSCG00180027613.1)". The record is from RNAcentral. Lineage: Eukaryota; Metazoa; Chordata; Mammalia; Artiodactyla; Suidae.
AAGAGUGAUAAGAAAAAGACACCAAUUACAAAUAUAUGGCAUUUCACUAAAGACCUCACAAAUAUCAAAGAGCAACACCAGAGCGUGUCUGCAACCUACACCACAGCUUGCAGCAACUCUGGAUCCUUAACUCACUGUGUAAGGUCAGGGAUGGAACCUGCAUCCUCACAGAGACAAUGUCAGGUCCUUAACCAGCUAAGCCACAACAGAACUCCUUAAAUUGGUGAACUUUAAAUUAUGCUUCAAUAAAGAUUUACUUUUUAAAGCUGAUGCAAGUGCAGAAACAGCAAGGGAUUACAACUUUUUGUUGUUGUCUUUUUAGGGCCGCACCUGCAGCAUAUGGAAGUUCCCAGGCUAGGGGUCAAAUCAGAGCCACAGCUGUCAGCCUCCACCAGAGCCACAGCAACAUGAGAUCCGAGCUGUGUCUGUGACCUACACCACCGCUCAUAGGAACGCCAGAUCCUUAACCCACUAAGCAGGGCCAGGGAUCAAACCCACGUCCUCAUGGAUCCUAGUCAGGUUCAUUACUGAUGAGCCAUGACGGGAACUUCAGAAUUAGAACAUUUAUCAUAGUGGCUGCCCUCAGUCUCCAGAUCAUUCUUGAUUACUUUUAAUUGUACAGAUGGGCAAUAUUCUUGAGUGCCACCUAUCUUGCUCCCAAGAAUGCUGUUUCAUUAAUGAUCCAGUCAGAACCCAGCUGCCUAAUAUUUCUGCUCAGUACAAUAAUUUAGCCACAUUGAUGCCCGCUUUAGCGCUGUCGUCCCCCUUACUCUGAGCCCAGUUCUGUCAGUGCGGUCCUGCCCACAGAGCAAGGUCAUCUCUGAGUUUCUCAAUGAAACUGGUGCUCGUCUCACCAGCAUAUUCUCACUUCAGUAAAUAGAAUAUCCCUUGGGCCCUCUAAUAGAACAUAAUCAUUUGGUGACUUUUCUGGCUUCACAUAGCAUAUAAAGCCGGCAUAUUCACUCUAACAGGCCCACUUUUUUGAGCCUUUCUUCCAUCACAUACCAAGGCAGUUCUGGCAUUUCUACUUCACUUGAUGUGGACAUGGUUUUCUCCGAGUUUCCAAGAGCCAUCCUGCGAGAAUGUUGGCAGCAUCUCUGGGGGUCCUCAUCUGAAUAAGUCCUGUAUUAGGGGAAGGUGCUCCCAUAGCCAUAUACUCUCCCUAUCCUUUGCGCCCCGGCCCCCUAAUGCAGUACCCUCAGCAUCCUGCCCAGGCCCCUCGCGCCUCCAAGGUAUAGUCUUCCCUCUUGAUGCUCUUACCUGGGUUCUGAUGCACUUAAUCCUAGUUAGUGAUCUGGAGGUCAGGAGUGGGAACGAAUCUUGAAGGGAGCGUGCACUGCCUUGCAAAGCAGAGGCAUCUGCAUCAUCCUGAAGCAAGGAGGAGCGACAGCCUUUAACAGGAAAAAGCAGGCACUUCUGCGGGCCCAAGGGAUGCAGCAGAACUGAGGGAUUCAAGAUUUUUUAAAGCAUCAACCAAGGUGCCCCAUCCCAUGUCUCAGGGUCUCUCUCCAUCCAAAUAAAACUGCCAGAAUUCAAACAAGCUCUGCUGCUCUUGAGUCCUGGGCCUUAUUUUCAGCUUUUUGGGUCCUCUAGAAGCAGGAAGUAAAAGUCUCUACAUAAGCUGCCAAGGAAGGCCUCUGGCUUUCACCGCCUUUAAUUAGUGAUGAAUCACCCUCAGCCUUCACUAUCCUUUUCCAAUGCCCUGAUAGCCUCAGCAGCAGCCGCUCAAUUCCACUGUCUUUAUCACUUCUCAAACCUGAUAUAUUUCCCCCACUAAUGCAUUUCCUUCCACGGGGGUCCCACCCCAGUUCAGCACUAGUGAGAGGUUUAACAACUGAGAUGAGCCCAGUGUGCCAGGGCCACCCAUGCUCUACCUACCACCAGUGAUGAGGUCCUCAUUGCCAGUUGGCCACAAGUGAUUUGCCUUUAAAAUCACCUUUUAGAAUCUGCUUCCUCAGUACUCUUGGCACCAGCUAUUGCCAGGUUGGGUUCCCCGGGAAACAUACCCUGAGGUGGAGAUUUGAGUAAAGGAGGUUUAUUAGGGUGUGCUCGCAGCAUCGCUGACACCUGUGAGAAAGCAAAGGCCACAGGACUGGACAGAAGGGGCGCUGGAGCUGAGGCGACCCUUCAGAGUUGUCCCCAGUAGAGGCAAGGGAAUCAGACCGUUAUACUCCCAUACUGGCCAGUGAACUCAGGCUGUUGCAGGAUAGGGAACUACCUUAGAUGCUUUCUCAGCUGAGGGCAGUUCCUAGAGGGGUCUCAGAAAUGUUAGCCACCAAAAUUCCCUUGGACAGGACGGAAGACCACGGGGUUGAGUGCUUCCAUCCUGAAGAGGGUUUUCUGGAUGGCACACCAUGGCAUCCACCAUGACAUCUUUAAAUAUGAGAAGGGAAAUGUAUUUUGACACCUCUCACCUAGGACAGCUACACACAGCUUCUCCCACACCUGGGUGGUUUGGUGUGUGGGGUCGCACAGUUACUUUAUUGUUGGAAGGGUCGUCAGCUACAAGAAAGAAAAUUGGUGUAUUCCAAAACCAAAGUGACAUUGUGUUAGGAUUUUACUAUAUAUUACUCCUAAGCAUUGCUAUGACCAGUCCUAAUACAUGUGAUCAAGAAUACAUUGUACAGGAGUUCCCGUUGUGGCUCAGCAGAUUAAGAAUUCAACUAUGGAGUUCCCGUCGUCACAGAUGCAGCUCGGAUCUGGCAUUGCUAUGGCUGUGGUGUAGGUCAGCAGCUGUAGCUCCCAUUCGACCCCUAGCCUGGGAACUUAUAUUUGCUGCAGGUGUGGCCCUGAAAAGACAAAAAAAAAAAAAAAAAAA